Molecule: ribosomal RNA, 468 nt
Filed under: uncultured bacterium
Lineage: Bacteria
Description: partial 16S ribosomal RNA
Rfam family: Bacterial small subunit ribosomal RNA
Source: RNAcentral
GACGAACGCUGGCGGCGUGCUUAACACAUGCAAGUCGAACGGAAAGGCCCUGCUUUUGUGGGGUGCUCGAGUGGCGAACGGGUGAGUAUCACGUGAGUAACAUGCCCUUGACUUUGGGAUAACUUCAGGAAAAUGGGGCUAAUACCGGGUAGGAGCUCCUGCUGCGUGGUGGGGGUUGGAAAGAUUCGGCGGUGGGGGCUGGAUUCGCGGCUUAUCAGCUUGUUGGUGGGGUAGUGGAGUACAAAGUCUUUGACGGGUAGCCGGCCUGGGAGCGUGACCGGGCACAUUGGUACUGCGAUACGGCCCAGACUCCUACGUGAGGCAGUAGUGGGGAACAUUGCACAAUGGGCGGACGUCUGAGGCGGCAACCUCGGGUGCGUGAUGACGGCUUUUUGGUUGUAAACCGCUUUCGCCGUUAACGAGGCCUGAGUGACGGUAACGGGUCAAGAAGCACCGGCUAACUACGUG